Molecule: ribosomal RNA, 1083 nt
Filed under: uncultured Paenibacillus sp.
Lineage: Bacteria; Bacillati; Bacillota; Bacilli; Caryophanales; Paenibacillaceae
Description: bacterial SSU rRNA
Rfam family: Bacterial small subunit ribosomal RNA
Source: RNAcentral
AGAGUUUGAUCAUGGCUCAGGACGAACGCUGGCGGCGUGCCUAAUACAUGCAAGUCGAGCGGAUCUUGUCCUUCGGGACAAGGUUAGCGGCGGACGGGUGAGUAACACGUAGGCAACCUGCCCUCAAGACUGGGAUAACCUCCGGAAACGGAUGCUAAUACCGGAUAUGCGGUUUCUCCUCCUGGAGAGAUCGGGAAAGACGGAGCAAUCUGUCACUUGGGGAUGGGCCUGCGGCGCAUUAGCUAGUUGGUGAGGUAACGGCUCACCAAGGCGACGAUGCGUAGCCGACCUGAGAGGGUGAUCGGCCACACUGGGACUGAGACACGGCCCAGACUCCUACGGGAGGCAGCAGUAGGGAAUCUUCCGCAAUGGACGCAAGUCUGACGGAGCAACGCCGCGUGAGUGAGGAAGGCCUUCGGGUCGUAAAGCUCUGUUGCCAGGGAAGAACGGGUGGAAGAGUAACUGCUUCCGCCAUGACGGUACCUGAGAAGAAAGCCCCGGCUAACUACGUGCCAGCAGCCGCGGUAAUACGUAGGGGGCAAGCGUUGUCCGGAAUUAUUGGGCGUAAAGCGCGCGCAGGCGGCUUUGUAAGUCCGGUGUUUAAUCUUGGGGCUCAACCCCAAGUCGCACGGGAAACUGCAAGGCUUGAGUGCAGAAGAGGAAAGUGGAAUUCCACGUGUAGCGGUGAAAUGCGUAGAGAUGUGGAGGAACACCAGUGGCGAAGGCGACUUUCUGGGCUGUAACUGACGCUGAGGCGCGAAAGCGUGGGGGAGCAAACAGGAUUAGAUACCCUGGUAGUCCACGCCGUAAACGAUGAAUGCUAGGUGUUAGGGGUUUUCGAUACCCUUGGUGCCGAAGUUUAACACAAUAAGCAUUUCCGCCUGGGGAGUACGCUCGCAAGAGUGAAACUCAAAGGGAAUUGACCGGGGACCCCGCACAAGCCAGUGGAGUAUUGUGUUAAUCGAAGCAACGCGAAGAACUUACCAGGUCUUUGACAUUCCCCCUUGAGUCUGGCCUAGAGAUAGCAACCGGUCCAUCGGUACAGGACAGUGUGCAUGGUUGUCCGUUCAGGCUUCGUGUGUC